Molecule: long non-coding RNA, 603 nt
Filed under: Malus domestica (apple)
Lineage: Eukaryota; Viridiplantae; Streptophyta; Magnoliopsida; Rosales; Rosaceae
Description: long non-coding RNA (MDOM_LNC016763)
Source: RNAcentral
UGCAAGAGAUGCAAAUGAGUAAGCGUACUCUCUCAUUAUUAUUAACGCUAGCCAAUAUGAUUUUCUUGUGAGGUGGGCUUGGUAAUGGUGAGUCUCCCAUACCCUACUAAGAGUUUCAUCCAAAACUCUCGAAUUCCAAUGAGGGAUAUGGAAUUUGCCAAAAAUAGUGGGUGGUGCUAUUUGAUUUAAAGACCCGGAAUCAAAUGGCUUAAAAUCAAUCAAUUUAUAUUCGUUAUGUAUUUGUUUACCAAUAUAUUUGCAAACGCUAUCCAAAACUUGACAAAGAAAAGCCGAAUGCUUUAGUUUCCGGACUUGGUACAACAAUCCCAAAGAUUGUCUUAAAUGGAUUGUAUAUGUACCUAAGUAGUCUCAUCCUCACAAUCUUUCUAUUGAUAAUGUAUCAUUGGAAGAACAUGUUAGAUAAGUCUAUCAUGAAGAGGACAACACAAACAACCAAUGCUUAUUCCUUCGUUAUAUGAACAAAGGAACUUACGAAGAUUAGCAUAAAAACAAGGACACUUUUAGUGUUGUUAGUUCUUCACUUACAAAUCGUUGUAUGAAGAAAUAAGAGUUGCUUUGAACAACCCUUAGCUAAUGCAAACA